This 424-nucleotide ribosomal RNA is filed under the name uncultured prokaryote. RNAcentral describes it as "bacterial SSU rRNA". It matches the Rfam family "Bacterial small subunit ribosomal RNA", at positions 355 to 796 of the family's 1533-position model. The record is from RNAcentral.
UGGGGAAUCAUAGACAAUGGGCGCAAGCCUGAUCUUGCCAUGCCGCGUGAGCGAUGAAGGCCUUAGGGUUGUAAAGCUCUUUCACCGGUGAAGAUAAUGACGGUAGCCGGAGAAGAAGCCCCGGCUAACUCCGUGCCAGCAGCCGCGGUAAUACGGAGGGGGCUAGCGUUGUUCGGAAUUACUGGGCGUAAAGCGCGCGUAGGCGGGCUGUUAAGUCGGGGGUGAAAUCCCGGGGCUCAACCCCGGAACUGCCCUCGAUACUGGCAGCCUGGAGUUCGGGAGAGGUGAGUGGAAUGGCGAGUGUAGAGGUGAAAUUCGUAGAUAUUCGCCGGAACACCAGUGGCGAAGGCGGCUCACUGGCCCGAUACUGACGCUGAGGUGCGAAAGCGUGGGGAGCAAACAGGAUUAGAUACCCCCGUAGUCC